GGUGUAGGUGGCUAUAUAAGUCAGGUGUGAAAGCCCGGGGCUCAACCUCGGAAGUGCAUUUGAUACUGCAUAGCUUGAGUGCGGGAGAGGCUAUUAGAAUUCCAGGUGUAGUGGUGAAAUACGUAGAUAUCUGGAGGAAUACCGGAGGCGAAGGCGGAUGGCUGGCCCGACACUGACACUCAGACCCGAAACGCGUGGGGAUCAAACA
RNAcentral lists this ribosomal RNA (208 nucleotides) under uncultured bacterium. RNAcentral's name for it is "partial 16S ribosomal RNA". It matches the Rfam family "Bacterial small subunit ribosomal RNA", at positions 568 to 774 of the family's 1533-position model. The record is from RNAcentral.